UGGGGAAUAUUGCACAAUGGGCGCAAGCCUGAUGCAGCCAUGCCGCGUGUGUGAAGAAGGCCUUCGGGUUGUAAAGCACUUUCAGCGAGGAGGAAGGUGGUGAGCUUAAUACGCUCAUCAAUUGACGUUACUCGCAGAAGAAGCACCGGCUAACUCCGUGCCAGCAGCCGCGGUAAUACGGAGGGUGCAAGCGUUAAUCGGAAUUACUGGGCGUAAAGCGCACGCAGGCGGUUUGUUAAGUCAGAUGUGAAAUCCCCGGGCUCAACCUGGGAACUGCAUUUGAAACCGGCAAGCUAGAGUCUCGUAGAGGGGGGUAGAAUUCCAGGUGUAGCGGUGAAAUGCGUAGAGAUCUGGAGGAAUACCGGCGGCGAAGGCGGCCCCCCUGGACGAAGACUGACGCUCAGGUGCGAAAGCGUGGGGCAGCAAACAGGAUUAGAUACCCUGGUAGUCACGCUGUAAACGAUGUCGAUUUGGAGGUUGUGCCCUUGAGGCGUGGCUCCGGAGCUAACGCGUUAAAUCGACCGCCUGGGGGAGUACGGCCGCAAGGUUAAAACUCAAAUGAAUUGACGGGGUC
This 574-nucleotide ribosomal RNA is filed under the name uncultured bacterium. RNAcentral describes it as "partial 16S ribosomal RNA". It matches the Rfam family "Bacterial small subunit ribosomal RNA", at positions 355 to 920 of the family's 1533-position model. The record is from RNAcentral.